CCUAAAUGUAAUCAUUUUACUACAGGACAUCACAGACCAAGAAGAUAAUCCUAAAACACCAUUGCCUUCACCUGGACAAUUAGCAAGAAUGCCACCGCUUCCAACAACGACAAAUAUACCUAGCAAGCGGCCAGGUCAUCUUGAAGAUCCAACUUUAUCAGACUCUAAAAUUACAGCAUGGUAACCAUAAAUUCUAAACAACUUUUCCACAUAUUACUCUCAUAUAUACUUGAUAAUAUUCUAAUUAUUUUUCUCCCCCUUAUACAGUGUACCUGGUAUUCCCAGAGGUGAGAGUUCUACUAAAAGAAGACUCCUAAAAGAGUAACUUCUAUCGAUCAUCUCAAAAAUAUGUUAAAUAUCUAUGAUGUAUAUAUUGUCGUCUUUUUUCUUUUUAAUCAGAAUACUGUCUAAUGUUGCAUCAAACUCAUAUUUUGUCCAGCUAUAAUAUCAAACUAACUAUUCCCUGUACUAUAUCUAAAUCUCAACUUUAUAUUAUAUACACUCCUCACAAAAACUUCGAACACCAUGACAUCGAUGUUUUUUGACUCCUGUAUCAUUGUCCUCUUUAUCUGAAGUACUUAGCAAAAGAUUAUUAAAGCAUUCAGUAUCUUCUCUUCACAUCAGAUUGCACCAAGAACAAUUUUCUCCAAAUAAGAAGAUCUUGCAUUUCUGUACAAAUCCUUAUUGUCCAGGAUCUUGCUCUGGUGUGAAACAAUUUUGUUGCUAAUUCUCCUACACAUGUUGCCUACUAUUUGCUGAUAUAGCUAAAAUAUGUUCAGGUGCUCACAUAUACCCAACAUCUCAAUUUGGUACAGCCAGUACGGAGCUAAACAUUUAUUCUCCAUUUGUUUCUGUGUUCCUGUUACUUAGUGUUGUGUAUGGUUUUGUUUCAACCUAUACACUCCUCACAGAAACUUCAAACACCAUGAUAUUGAUGUUUUUGACUCCUGUAUCAUUGUCCUCUUUAUCUGAAGUACUUAGCAAAAGAUCAUUAAAGCAUUCAGUACCUUCUCUUCACAUCAGAUUGCACGAGGAACAAUUUUCUCCAAACGAGAAGAUCUUGCAUUUGUGUAAAAAUCCUUAUUGUCCAGGAUGUUGCUCUGGUGUGAAACUAUUUUGUUGCUAAUUCUCCUGCACAUGUUGCCUACUAUUUGCUGAUAUAGCUGAAAUAUGUUCAAGUGCUCACAUAUACCCAACAUCUCAAUUUGGUACAGCCAGCACGAGGCUAAUCAUUUAUUCUC
Molecule: long non-coding RNA, 1241 nt
Organism: Phragmites australis (common reed)
Lineage: Eukaryota; Viridiplantae; Streptophyta; Magnoliopsida; Poales; Poaceae
Exons: 2
Source: RefSeq, a predicted model, not a curated record